This is a transfer RNA of 85 nucleotides. It matches the Rfam family "tRNA". Rfam says of the family: Transfer RNA (tRNA) molecules are approximately 80 nucleotides in length. Their secondary structure includes four short double-helical elements and three loops (D, anti-codon, and T loops). Further hydrogen bonds mediate the characteristic L-shaped molecular structure. tRNAs have two regions of fundamental functional importance: the anti-codon, which is responsible for specific mRNA codon recognition, and the 3' end, to which the tRNAs corresponding amino acid is attached (by aminoacyl-tRNA synthetases). tRNAs cope with the degeneracy of the genetic code in two manners: having more than one tRNA (with a specific anti-codon) for a particular amino acid; and 'wobble' base-pairing, i.e. permitting non-standard base-pairing at the 3rd anti-codon position.
GCCCGGGUGGUGAAAUUGGUAUACACAAGGGACUUAAAAUCCCUCAACAUAAAUAGUUAUGCGGGUUCAAUUCCCGCUCCGGGUA